This 464-nucleotide ribosomal RNA is filed under the name uncultured Klebsiella sp. RNAcentral's name for it is "bacterial SSU rRNA". It matches the Rfam family "Bacterial small subunit ribosomal RNA", at positions 338 to 795 of the family's 1533-position model. The record is from RNAcentral. Lineage: Bacteria; Pseudomonadati; Pseudomonadota; Gammaproteobacteria; Enterobacterales; Enterobacteriaceae.
CCUACGGGAGGCAGCAGUGGGGAAUAUUGCACAAUGGGCGCAAGCCUGAUGCAGCCAUGCCGCGUGUGUGAAGAAGGCCUUCGGGUUGUAAAGCACUUUCAGCGGGGAGGAAGGCGGUGAGGUUAAUAACCUCAUCGAUUGACGUUACCCGCAGAAGAAGCACCGGCUAACUCCGUGCCAGCAGCGCGGUAAUACGGAGGGUGCAAGCGUUAAUCGGAAUUACUGGGCGUAAAGCGCACGCAGGCGGUCUGUCAAGUCGGAUGUGAAAUCCCCGGGCUCAACCUGGGAACUGCAUUCGAAACUGGCAGGCUAGAGUCUUGUAGAGGGGGGUAGAAUUCCAGGUGUAGCGGUGAAAUGCGUAGAGAUCUGGAGGAAUACCGGUGGCGAAGGCGGCCCCCUGGACAAAGACUGACGCUCAGGUGCGAAAGCGUGGGGAGCAAACAGGAUUAGAUACCCCGGUAGUC